UGGGGAAUAUUGCACAAUGGGGGAAACCCUGAUGCAGCGACGCCGCGUGAGUGAAGAAGUAUUUCGGUAUGUAAAGCUCUAUCAGCAGGGAAGAUAAUGACAGUACCUGACUAAGAAGCCCCGGCUAACUACGUGCCAGCAGCCGCGGUAAUACGUAGGGGGCAAGCGUUAUCCGGAUUUACUGGGUGUAAAGGGAGCGUAGACGGAGUGGCAAGUCUGAAGUGAAAACCCUGGGCUCAACCUGGGGACUGCUUUGGAAACUGUUAAUCUAGAGUGUUGGAGAGGUAAGUGGAAUUCCUGGUGUAGCGGUGAAAUGCGUAGAUAUCAGGAAGAACACCGGAGGCGAAGGCGGCUUACUGGACAAUAACUGACGUUGAGGCUCGAAAGCGUGGGGAUCAAACAGGAUUAGAUACCCUGGUAGUCCACGCUGUAAACGAUGAAUACUAGGUGUCGGGGAGCAAAGCUUCUCGGUGCCGUCGCAAACGCAAUAAGUAUUCCACCUGGGGAGUACGUUCGCAAGAAUG
Molecule: ribosomal RNA, 524 nt
Filed under: uncultured bacterium
Lineage: Bacteria
Description: bacterial SSU rRNA
Rfam family: Bacterial small subunit ribosomal RNA
Source: RNAcentral